This 24-nucleotide small nuclear RNA is filed under the name Arabidopsis thaliana (thale cress). RNAcentral's name for it is "snRNA_07949". The record is from RNAcentral. Lineage: Eukaryota; Viridiplantae; Streptophyta; Magnoliopsida; Brassicales; Brassicaceae.
UCUGUUUCAGUCGCGAUUUAGACC